GACGAACGCUGGCGGCGUGCUUAACACAUGCAAGUCGAACGGUAAGGCUCCAGCUUGCUGGGGUACACGAGUGGCGAACGGGUGAGUAACACGUGGGUGACCUGCCCUGCACUUCGGGAUAAGCCUGGGUAACUGGGUCUAAUACCGGAUAGGACCAUGGUGUGGAUACUGUGGUGGAAAGUUUUUUCGGUGUGGGAUGGGCCCGCGGCCUAUCAGCUUGUUGGUGGGGUAAUGGCCUACCAAGGCGGCGACGGGUAGCCGGCCUGAGAGGGUGGACGGCCACAUUGGGACUGAGACACGGCCCAGACUCCUACGGGAGGCAGCAGUGGGGAAUAUUGCACAAUGGGCGGAAGCCUGAUGCAGCGACGCCGCGUGGGGGAUGACGGCCUUCGGGUUGUAAACUCCUUUCACCAUCGACGAAGGGUUUCUGACGGUAGAUGGAGAAGAAGCACCGGCUAACUACGUG
RNAcentral lists this ribosomal RNA (466 nucleotides) under uncultured bacterium. Its description in RNAcentral is "partial 16S ribosomal RNA". It matches the Rfam family "Bacterial small subunit ribosomal RNA", at positions 28 to 507 of the family's 1533-position model. The record is from RNAcentral.